RNAcentral lists this long non-coding RNA (4008 nucleotides) under Mus musculus (house mouse). RNAcentral's name for it is "long non-coding RNA chr7:36721845-36725853". The record is from RNAcentral. Lineage: Eukaryota; Metazoa; Chordata; Mammalia; Rodentia; Muridae.
UGUUGCUGUUAUUUUGUUUUUUGCUUGUUUGUUUUUUUGUUGGUUUUAAUUUUUUCGUUAUUUAUUUAUUUAUUGUUUUAAAAGCAUGUUGCUUUUCUAUUUAUUUUUUAAAGUCAUGGUCUCACUAUGUAGCACUGGCUUGCCAGGACCUCACUAUGGCUGCAUGAGUUGUUUCUUUGUUUUGUUUUGUUUUGUUUUGUUUUGUUUUGUUUUGUUUUGUUUUUGAAUGUUUUAAGACAGGGUCUCAUUAUACAGCCCACAACUGAUUUCGAACCCACCAUUCUCUUGCCUCAGCGCCUAGAAUUCCAGAGACUCUAGGCAUGUGCCACCAGGCCCAGUGCAUCGAGUAACUCUAUCAAUAAACAUUUGAGUUACGUCACCAUAGAGAAGGCCCUUCUUUGUGAGACAGAACACUACAGACAAAAUUGUUAGCAGAGAUUAGUUUAGCUCCUGAAAGAAUGUAUUCAAAACUAUUGCUUCCCAUCACCGCCUGCUUGUGUGUUCCUGGAGCCCCCCAAUCCACAGCUUAGUUUAGGAUUGCAGUCAGAGACCCCCCCUCCUAGGGCUCAAUAUGGGCUCAGCACAUCGUCAUACGUUUCAAAGGUGUGUGUAUGUGUAUAUGUGCAUAUGUGUGUGUGUGUGGGGGAGGGGUUGGAUGUGAAGUUUGAAUGUCCUUAUUAACUUUAGAAGUCCUUGGGUUUGUUUGUUUGUUUGUUUGUUUACAUUUCUGGGUGACUACAGAUGGGUUUAAGUUCACUGUCUGUGACACAGAUGGUCUCAUUUGACGGACAAGAAAAGAUCAAGAGUGGGAAAGACACCAGUGUAAGUUGUCAUGGUGCUCCUCCCACCUUGGCUUGAAACCUUGGCAUGAUCCUCUGGGGCUGGACCAUGGUAGGCUUCUCCACUGGCCUCCCCAUUACCUGAGGGUGCUUAGAAAGCCAGGCUGCCGAGACAGCCAGGUGAGUUCCUGCCGAGUACUGCAGAGGUGGCUGUCUCCAGCCAGGAGCUUCUCAGAAAACGACCGUGGAAUGCUGCAAAAGUCCUUUUGGGUUUUGGCUGAAUAAUAUUUAAGGGUUUUGAAAGAGUGACUUAAUUGUGUUUUUAUGUAAUUGAUGGCGUUCUAGUAAAAUGUAUCGAGACACGGUAUCAGCGUUUCUCUAACUGUUCCUUGGAGAAAAAUCUCUGCUCAUAUGAAAAUGGUUCCUUCACUUUCCACUCAUGGAAUUGUGAAAAAUGAAAAAAAAAUCACUGGCUUCCUCUGAAUCACUGUACCUAGAGGACUCUCUCAUUUUAAAAUGUACUCCCCCACUCCCGGACUUGGCCUGGAUACCACAGGGGUACCUCAUCAUUAUAAGAUUGCGGCUUGGGAACCCGGGGGCCUGCUAUGUUAGACUUGGGGCAGGAUGCUGUGUGGGCAGAUUUCGGGAAGCUUCCAUGUGCCCACAGGUCAGUUGGUACUAGGCUCCAGACUGAGGACCUCCUAACUGGGGACUCGUGAGUUCCUCAGAGUUCUUGCCCACCACAACCUGUUUUGGGUUUGGAAGACUGUGGCACAUAAAGCUACAUUGCAAUGAUGCACAGUCUCUUAAGCCUCGGAUCGAAUUUGAAGACCAUAUCACCUUGCUUGCUACCAUAGAAAUCGGGGAAUGUAAAUGUACAUUCUCAGCUUUCCUAACGUGACAUUUGUUUAUAUGGGGGGGGGGGGAGGUUUGCAUACAUUUCGAUUCCCCCCCUUCCUUCUUUCCUUCAUCUGCUCCCCCUUUCUUGUUUUUUCUAGAGGUUCACUAUCUAACACAGGCUGCCCUUGAACCGAGGCUAGCUUCUGCCUUGGUCGCCUCAGUGCUGGGGUGAUCUUACUGUGUCGGGACUGUUGGGCUUGGUGCUUUGAUUUUGUUUCAGACCUUACUACAUUGAUUCCAUUCUGGAAAAUCAAACCGUAAUCAUGAAAAAUGAAAAUAUAUUCGAACCCCAGAUGGAGCUGAGAGCUGAGUUCUUUAGUAGUGUGCACAUGGCCUUAGCUUCCAUUCCUAGCACCCCUCUCUCUUUUCUGUCUUAUUUUAAAAUAAAAAGUAUGUUAACCCUCUCUCAGUUUUCUCCAUCCCUCCCUUCAUCCUUCCUUCCCUCCCUCCCAUCCUUUCUCCUUUCGUUCCUUCCUCCCUUUCUGUGGUGCCUGGAAUGGAAUGAAAGGCCUUGCAUGCACAUGCUAGGCCAGCAACAUGUCUCCAGUCCCCCCAGUUAGUUUCUAAUUACAGAAAACUCGCAAGUCUGCUAAAUUACAUUGUAAUAGUAGUUACAAUAAUAAUAAUUGUAAUUAUAAUGCUUUGAAAGUACCAUGGGUCACCCUCCUGGUGGCCGCAAGCUGUGUGCUGCUUCCUGGAGGCCCUGUGCACUAGGACCUCCGAGGGUCUAACCACUACGAACACGCGCACUAGAAGAGAGCCGGUGUUCAACGGUGGGUGACACCCGAGUGUGGUGGUGAGGGUGACCCUCGUGGCCCGUGUCCCAUAGGCCUUUUUCGGGAGGGUUUUCUUACUGAGUCAGCCUGAGUGUCACCAGUGCGGUGCAGUGGGGCUGCCCCUGCUGGGCCCUGGGAGGAGAACCCCAGGUAGACAAGACUGGAGCAUCUGCAGCCUGCUGCGCUGCCGUGUGUGGGGGAACAGCAGGUCCAGAUGCACAGCCACAGCUGCAGCCUCCGCCACCGUGUGGGAGAACACACCUUCCCUAGGUGUGUAACGGGGCGGGAAGGUGACUGCAUAGAGUCUUCUGUCCUUGGGCUGGAGACUGCAGUAGCUCUGCCUUGGCAUGUCACUUAGCAGCUUCCUGUGAUCUGCAUGUGGCCCUUUCUCAGGGCAUAUCAAGGGGCCGGCCGGCAAGAAGCCACCUGGGUAUCAUAAACCAACUGCAUAGAGUUCUCUGACACUGAAUCCUCACAGGGUGAACAAGAAAAACCACAAUGAAAAUAAAGAAGAAAAAUAGUGUGUGUUGAUGCCUCCUGCUUGGUCCUAACUGGCAAACCUUGUGUGUCUUGACGUCUGAAAGACAUUUAAUGUUUAAUAAUUAGACCUCUUUACAGGAGCUCCCUGAAUAAUGACAUUUGUAGAGCCCUCCACAUCAAUGAAUAGAUCGCCAAGACACUGGAGCAGAGGCUCACAAACACACCCUUCCCAGGAGGGUCUAGGGGGCCCAGUAGCAGUGUAGCAGUGGGCACCUCUCAGCCAGAAUAGAAGAACUAGCUUUGGCUUCUGGUUUUGCGGAUAGGCAGUCACCCAAUGGUCUCGUUUCGGUGUUAAGGAGUAGGACGUGUGUUUGAAACAAUUUCCACAUGUUUUCAAUUCAGUAUUGCCUGAACAAAACUAAGGUUGUCAGUCUGAUGCACAGGUCUCACACACACAUGCAUGUGUUCCAGUAGGAGGAAAGGAGCAGGUCACAAUGUGAAAGUUUAUUUCCUCUCUAUGGCCACCUCUGCACCUGUAUUUUCCAAAGUUCUCACAGCAGACCUAUGCUGCCAGACACUGAGGCUUAGCGUUGAGGGUGCAGCAGCAGACACUUGGUGGCCUGGCAGAAGAGAAGCCGUUAGUCACUCAUUCAAAGAUAAAGCUCUCCCACUUUCACCACUGUGUGGAAAGAAAGCGACUCCAUUCACACAGGCCCGUGGUCACAGGGAGGUGAGGCGGACAUAGCUCCCGCUGGCUGGACUUAACCUUGUUGCCUGAGUUUCUGCCACCACGGGCUUCCCUGGGUAUAUGCUUUGGUAUCGGUGGGGUUUUGUGGGAUUCCAAGAUAAUCUAGAGGCUCCAAACUGGUCUUACUCAGAGGGACCAGAAAUACAUUCACUAGAUGGCUAAGGUUUUAAGCACUUUUAGUACCUGAGUAUGGUGGAUGGCACCUGGGACUUCGCCGUGAGGAGGUUGAGGGAGGAGGAGGUCCAAGUCAAAGCUGGCUUGGGCAGCAUAGGUAGACUAUUAGAGAAAAAACAAAGACAAAUAAAAAAUAACCACUACAACCACC